AGCCGACAAACUCAACUUCCUCGCUUCUGCGAAAUAUGGAAGCACAGAGUUUUCUUGCUAGGGGCUGGAUGCCAUCCGAAUUGCAUCCGCCCACCUCCACGCCAGGGCAUCAAGAUUUAACACCUGCCGGACGGGAGGUCUGACAUAGUUCCUCAAAAAUGGGCUGGAUUGGUUCAGGCACACAAUGAAAGAUCUUCGACGGCUAGGGAGAGGUUUUGGCCUUAUUGCUACCCUCUAUUCAGAAGCCAUCUAAUGAGAUCGACAUUUUAAUUGAGUUACGGAAUCCCCCCCGAGGCUUGUUAUUGUUCUUUUUACGCCACCCUUCCCUCUCAAGCUCAAAUCCAUGCUUUACCUAUUACCUAUCUACUAAUCAGUUCCCCUGGCUCCAGAAAAUAGAAAAGGUAUUAGAGAUAUCACUAACAGGAACCGAAAAAACAAUUAAAAUUAAAAUUAAAAACAACUUGAUAAUUAUUGACUCCUCAGAGUCAGAGUUUAGAUAUCCCGCAGAGGCAUCUAUUAUUUUAGCUACUAAUUGAUGGUUAAUUGUAACUAACUCGCAGCUCAAGUAAUUGUAGUCACGUGGCGUUCUAGCAAUCACACG
Molecule: small RNA, 601 nt
Filed under: Histoplasma capsulatum
Lineage: Eukaryota; Fungi; Ascomycota; Eurotiomycetes; Onygenales; Ajellomycetaceae
Also listed under: 1 other name
Description: hypothetical RNA
Source: RNAcentral